Molecule: non-coding RNA, 464 nt
Organism: Paramuricea clavata
Lineage: Eukaryota; Metazoa; Cnidaria; Anthozoa; Malacalcyonacea; Plexauridae
Source: the annotation of a GenBank genome assembly
CUGGUACCGAACCCACUCAGAGUAACAGUUGAUGGCUAACUUAAUGCACUGUUUCCGGUUGGUCAAAAAGUCAAUUACCCAGUAUGCGACACCACAGGGAAUUGAUAUAGGUUGAAAAUUUUUUGGACAGAACAAGGUUGUGGUCAGUUAAAUCGGAUGCUUUUUCAUAAUCGAACAGAAACUGCGGCACCAGCUGAUCCCUCUGUAGCUUUCAGCCAGUGGUGAACCAUAGACACUAGGGUAUGAGUUGUAGAGGAAUUUGGUAUACAACCAUAUGCUUGGUUUUCAUAUCACAUCACGGGGGCCAACUCUAAAACAAAACACAGUUAUCAGAGUGAGUCGAUUGUUCGUUUUAUGUAUUUGGUGGCAAAUACAUGGAAUUUCAUAUAAUUUUCUUACUCCAGUACAGCAUAAGCAUCAAUACAUUCGAGGUUGACCCCCCGUCAGAUUCACUACAUAAUGCU